Molecule: long non-coding RNA, 6996 nt
Filed under: Malus domestica (apple)
Lineage: Eukaryota; Viridiplantae; Streptophyta; Magnoliopsida; Rosales; Rosaceae
Description: long non-coding RNA (MDOM_LNC015808)
Source: RNAcentral
CUUUCAGAUUGAGUUAUGUGGGGUUAUGACCUUACCGUCGAACUUAGUCGACGGUUGACCUUUGAUCAACGAGUCUCGCAUUAUUCUUGAAUUCCCUUGUGGAUGUGUGUUAUGUGAAUUUCAUAUUCUAUGGAUAAGAGUUCUGAGACGUGGUUUGAUAACUAUUUUAGAAGCCGAGCGUUCGGGAUGCCUUGGUUCUGAUGUUAGGGAGUCGUAGCGCGGACCCCAGGUGAGUGGGCAUUUGUUUCUAUAUAUAUCUAUAUACUAUUGAUUUUCCCAGAAAUCGAGUUUAAAUGAAAUGCGUUAUGAAAUGAGUUUUGAAAUGCCAUGCAUAGAAAUUAUAUGAAUUAUAUGAUUUGGUAUAUGAUGCAUAUAUGUGAAAUGGUGAUGUGGACGCACAUGUGAGUAUCAGGUGAGGUUUAUGUUGUUCAUGUGAUUUAUUGAUGAUGUGAAUUGUGUUGAGAGCUCAUAACAUGCACCCCCGGUGUUAGUGCUUAUGUUAUUCACCCUGCAUCACACGUUCACCUUGGAUCCAAGUAGAUGCUAGUCGUACAGACCACUAAAGGUGGUUCCGACAUGCCAGUCGUACAGACCAUUAGAGGGGUUCCGACUGGUAGGUGACUUUAGAUUAUGUGCACAGAUGAUUGAUGAGAGAAGCACUAGAGCGUAUUAUUUCACCAUCUUAGUCGUACAGACUACUAUAGGUAGUUCCGACUUAUGUGCAGUGUAGUGCCGUACAGGUCACAGUUGGUGACUCCGGCAGGGCCGUACAAGUCACAGUUGGUGACUCCGACUAGAUGGGAUAUUGAGCUAUAGAAUCAGCCGUACAGGACCACUAUAGGGUCUUCGGUUGAUUUAUUAUUUCACCUGAUUUAUAUUGAUGCAUUCAUAUUAUAUUUUGGCAUAUGGCAUGGCAUGGCAUAUUCUUUCUUAAAAGCGUUGAAGGAUUGUGAUUUGAGCUUUUGAUGAUAUAUAUAUGUUUAUAUACGAUUAUAUAUUAUUUUCUGGGAAAGUAUACAAGUUUUUCAGAGAGGGGUUAUAAAUGUUGAAUAAAUGAGAUGUUUUGAAAAGCUUUAUUUUCGCCCACUCACGUUUUCUGUUUUGCGCCCCUCCAGGUUCUAGUAGCAAAGUUCCUUAUCGACGAGGAUUUGUGGCAUGUCCCUGUUAAGGUGGCUACUUUUGUGGGUAUGGUUUCUACCUACAUUAUUGUACUUGACUAUGCUCUGACAUCACGUGUGAUUUGGGUUCAUACCCACGCACAGUGCACUCUGUUAUCAGGCACCUUUAGGUUUAAAAUUAUUCGCAUUUUUUUUCCUUAUCAUCACUUUAUGGCUUCGUCACCUUCCAGGUGGCGCCCAGCAUAGCUCGAUUCGGGAUCCUAGUGGAUAUUCCGGAUCGGGGUGUGUCAGUUUGGUAUCAGAGCAUAAGUUGGGCAGUCUUGCGUUCAUCACACACGUGAUGUGAGCAUUCUUGGUUUUCGUGUCUACUUUUGGAUCUUGCCACCUCGUCGAUUACGAGAUAAUGUAGUAGCUCUUCUAAGUUUUGGUAGUUGGGUUGACCUCUUGAUGUUUUAGAAGAGCACUCCGGUGAAUGUUCUCAUAAUUGAAGUGAAGAAGUUCUCUAUCAAGAAGCGAAUCAGAGGAAAGAAGAUGGCCUAAAUUAUGGUUAGCGCAGCAUUGGGUGUUAUCAGAUGCUUUGCCAAUUAAUUCGAUACUUAUCCUCUAGCCAUCCGCAUUAAACUGUUGAGAUUUGAAUUUCGGAGUUGUUUGAUUCCUUGACAGUACCUAUUGGAUUAUUACCUAUUGGAAUUCUUGUGAAGUUUACCUUGUUUAGACUCAAAGACAGUCUCGUGUGACGAUGGUGCCAAAGUAAUAGCAUUUAAUGGAAAAGCACUUUAGAAAGAUCACUUUGGUGUAUGAUUGGACUUGGAAAGUGAUAUUGUACACUCUUAGUACAAAGUAUCUUGUAUGUGUAAAGGAUGUGAGAAUCAAUAGUCAUGGUGUUGAACCUAUGCUAUGCUUAUAUGGUGUUUCAGUGGAUGGUAGCUUUACUUAAGUGGAAAGCUGUAUUCUUCCAGCCCUAAAGCUUAAACUAUUAGCGAUGUUUUCUUUCCUUUAAAAGGGCGUUAGAAUUUCGACGACCAGCAUCGGUGGAUCAACUGAGAUAGAAAGGUGAGUUGUUAUUGAUUUUCUCUCACCUUGUUAUAUAAAAGUCCGUGUUCACGAUCCAAUCAGGUGUGGAGAUAUAAAAGGAAUUAAAAGUCGAGGCUCCACCUGAUGUGAUUGAAGGAAAUUCUCAGUCUAGGCGAGCCUGCCUUUGGUUAAAGCAGAAGAAUGUUUGAGGAUAUACAGUUCAACUUCCUGGGCAACCACAGUUUCUUAUUGGUUGUUUCCAAAGGAUGAUGGCAUUAUGAGAGAGCUACUUUGGACUUUUAUACUAGUUCGGACAAUUAGAAAUCGAACUAGAUUAUUAUUUGGAUAUAAUUGUAAUUAGCCGUAUUGCAUGUUUUAUUUCAAGAAUUGAAAAGUCUUUCCUGAGGUUAUGAGUACUGGAUAAUACGUGAAUUGUGGAGGAGCAUCGUAAUCAGGUAUUUGGAGGAUCAAGAUUGUGUCAUAGAAAUUUUAUGAUUUUGACACGAUGUUUGAAAAGGUAGUACGUGAACACUUUAUUCAGAUGUGGCGUUCUAAAGUUUAUCAACUAAGGAAUGUAUUCAACCAAGUCUUCUAAUUAGGGAACUUUGAACUUUGGGAUUUUACUUAGAUUUAGUCACUUUCUUAAGUGACGGUUGGAGUUAUUUUCCUCAGACACCAGUUUUAUUCAGACUGGUACUUAUAUCGGAAAGUGUGAUCUUCACAGAUGGUAUUCUUUUCUCAUUUCAAAAAGAGUUAUAGGGAUGAAGGUCGAAAUCGUCAUAAAGUGUCGUGAGAUUUAAGAUAUUCUUGGUCUUAUUGAGGUUAUCGACUAUUGAUGGGCGAACUUACAGUUAUAGUGUUCUGCAUCACUUUUGAUCGAAGAAGUUGGUUUAGUGUGUGAUGUGAGUUGUGAAUAAAGAUCUCUGACAGUUUAAGUGUUGCCUUUUCUUCAUAUGAUUUUUACAUCCUUUGGUAGCAGUGAGAAAUUUUGGAAAUUAAGGUGACGUUUUUCUCGGAUGUUGGUUAGGUAAAUGCAUCAAGAUGGGGUAACAGUUAUGCUUCCUAGCAGUGGAACCAAUAAAGAUGAAUCAUCUUAUAUGUGUUUGGAGGUAACAAUGGUCAUUUUUCAUUUGAAUACGGUUUGGUACUUCUUCAUGGAGAAGUGUGUCCAAAAUCUUCAUUAACUUGGAGCUUUUUAAUUACACUUACUUUUGGACAGAGUGAGUUGCUGGCAACAACAUUGGAAGGAUUAAAUCAACGCCUAUGAUUGCACUAUCGUGUAUUAUCCCGGUUGUGCAAACGUAAUUACUGAACAUCGUAGCACAUAUGGUUUUUAUCCUAAGUAUUUUAGUCUCCCUCAUUUCAUUAUAGAUGACCUCUUGAGUAUCGUUGCAAUGUUAUUUGGAUUCUUCAAGAAAUUGUCUAAAUGGGUUACAUCACUUACCACAUCCGGAUGCAAACGGGAUAAUUACUAUAAGCUCUUGGUAAGAAGUAUUUUGGUACAUGUGGAGUGAUAGUGAUGCCUUGAUGUUUAUGGAUUGACUUGGCAAUCAAACCAUUCUUCCAUUAAUUCUGAGGGAGCUACAGUUGGACCACUUGUUAAAAUUACCUAUUCUUGAAUUUAUUGGUUAGUUGGCAUUUUGGUCAACAUCAUAUCUGGUCAUGACUUCGUAUUCAUUCCUUGUGCUAAGAGUGUAUUUGGUCAACUUUGGUACAUGCCUACCCUAUUACAGUUCACACUAUUUUAAAGGACAGAUAGUCAUUCGAGAAAAAUUUCUUGGAUAUUGAAAUCUAGUUGGAAUCGUUAAUUCCUCAAUCACCUGUCGAUUACUUUGUGGAUUAGAUUAUUACCAUUGGUGAUUGAGUAUUCUGGAAGUUGUUUUUGGUAAGGGUAAGGACAACCAAUCAGUUGGAUAUCAUGAACUUUGAAUGUGACGACCUUGUUUGGGGUUCUCGGAUUUUCGAGUAUGCUUUAACCUUCUUGACAUGAUUUUUCACUCGAUCGAUGAGUAAUUCGAUACAUUGUCUCGGCGAAGGCGUGCGCCAGUUUUAUAUCGAUGUGUACAAGAAAUCUUGAAGUACAAUCUCCUCAUGAGUUUAUUGGACUUACCAAAAAGGAAUUUCAUGUGGUAUUGAGAAUUGAAUGGAUUUCAGCUGAGUAUUGGUGAAGGUAUGAAGCCUAGUAAUAUUGACGACACUCUUCAUGUAAGGUUGAGAUUACAAUUGUCGCUUGAAUGUUGUUGAUAAAGAUUUGGAUUCUCAAAUUUUGGAUUUCAGAGGUUAUAUUCUUGAUUCGGUGAGCGAUACUAGUGAAUAAUCGUGAAGGAAAUAUUUGAGGAUAUAUGUUUUCUAUACGCAUCUUUUCAGGACGUCAUUCCAGGAAUUGAUAAUUUGGGGAGUUCAUGGGUAUCAAACACUCCUAAUAGUUAGAUUGAUGCACUUGAAGAUUUUAUGACGUUGUGAUCAAGACACGAAUUGGAUGAUUUGGACAUAAUUGCAUUCAAGGAGCAAGAUGAUUCUUACUAACUUAUUGAAACAACAUUGAACUAUCGACAAUUCAGGCCGCAAACAAUAAUAUCAAUGGCUUAAUUUUGGGUUCUCUAAGCUAGUGGGCAAGACGGCUCAUUUUUAAUAGUAGUUACUAAUUAGUUAUAUUUCAGACUUUCCCGAAGUUCGUGUCACGACAAAUGUUUGGCAAGGACCAUUUUCAUUUUGAAUCUUGAUUUUUGUGUGUAAGCAUCUUCUAUGAGACUAUUCUAUUUAUUUGAGUAUUUCUGAUUUUGCAAAUGUUGAGUGAGUUAUUUCUACUCUUGGUUUUAAGUUUGGCGCAAGUAUCUGAACUGAAGGUUUCUAUAUUGAUAGUUGUUUUUGAUAUCCGUAAACUUUUCUUAAGCCAUUACGGGGUAAGUGGUAUUCUUACUUGACGGAUUUUGUGGAUGUUAUAUUACUACACUGAUGAGGAAGGAAAAAGGUGUGAGUUUGGAGGCAUGAAAGAGGAAUAAUUGCAAUCCGAUCGCGACGGAAUGACACUCUCUUUUAUGCAACCGCUCUAACUUGAUCUCUUCCUUGUGUAAGUAUUUUUAUAUAAUGGUACUCUUCUUUUUUUUUUUUGAGUAUUUUGCAUCUAGCAAGUUAUUUGAAAUUUCGGGGACGAAAUUUUUAAAGGGGGGAAGAUUGUGACAGCCCGUCCCGGAAAAUAUUGAUUUCUAUAAUUUUAUUAAGUGAUUUUACGAAAUUUCCUUUUGAGACACGUGUGUUGACUAAGAUUAUUUACGGUAUCGUGUCACCUAAAAAUUUCUUUCUUGGCCUAUCCCCGUAGUACUCGUCACUACGGACGCGUGGGCGCAAGUGGUUCAUGAUUUGGAGCUAUAUCGAAGAAGUUAUUAAAGUUUGAAAUUUGAUCAAUUUUAUUAAUUUCUGAAAAUAUGAAUUCUUCCUUUAUAAAAUCUGGUGUGCUAUUUGGAUGGCCCAGAUUUAAAGAAGAAGAAAUGGAUGGUGCGGAUGGAAAGGAAAGAAAGAAAAAGAAGAGGUUGGGCAAGCUGCCCAACCAGAGGGAGAGAUGUAGGAACUCCGGGAGGAAAAGAGAGAAAGACUGACCAAUCAGAACAGGGAAGGGAGGAAAGGAGAGAGGGUGAGAAGCGGAGGAAAAGAGAGGAAACGGGUUGAGAGAACCCGCAACUCGUGUUUAACCCGGUUGGCAUUUGUGUGUAAUUUCGACGAUUUUCACUCAUUUUUCCGUCGACUUGCUGCAAGAAAUUACUUGGGAACUUCUCCACGACCUUCCCUCUAUCCAUUCCAUCUCAAAUUUGGAGAGAUUUGGUCUUGAAAAUGGAGGAACCCGCGAGGAAGGAUGCGGCGGCCUUGGCUUUGAAUCACCCAAUCCCGAAGCAAUUUCUUUCAAUUUCCACCACCCAUGGCAUCCUCUUGAGGCCUAGAACAAAGCCUUAGCAAUGGUUGGGACGGCGAAGUUGAUUUGAGGACGGAUUGAGCACACCCAAAACCUAGGGUUUCCGACGGGUUUUGUUGAAAUUCGAGGCCUUGCCGACCGAAUUGGCCUUGGCCACAGGUAUGAAAGUUGCUCUACUCAUUAAGAUAUUCAUUUUUGUAAAUUUUGGUAAUUUUUUGAAAUAGUUGGAUUUUCCGGCGAGCCGGGGCGGCCGACCACCACCCACGGCGGCACGUGGCCAGUGGGCCGCCAAUGUUAUUUUUAAGUUAUAUUUGAUGUCUUGAGUUCAGUUAUGAUAGUGGUUUAACGUUAGUUGAUCAUUUGGACUUAAUUUCGAUACGAUUCAUGGUUAGCCUAAAAGGUGAAUUGACGAUCUAACCGUCGGAUCGUCACCAAACUUUGAUACGUAGUAGUAUGUAAUAUUUGAAGAAUGCAGGAACUUAUGGAUUGGAAAUCCUACGUAUGGAUCUUCCCGAAUUGGAUUUGUAAGUUCAUAAAAAUAAAAGGUUAAACGCCACUCGGUUUUGGAAAUUGGCGGAGAUCCAACCGUCGGAUCGUAACGAAAUUUUAGUAUGUUGUUCUAGAAGCUUAAUGUGUAUCUUGGGAAGUGACGGAUCGGAAAUCUGAGUUGUGGAUCUUUCAGAUUGAGUUAUGUGGGGUUAUGACCCUACCUUCGAACUUAGUCGACAGUUGACCUUUGAUCAACGGGUCUCGCAUUAUUCUUGAAUGCCCUUGUGGAUGUGUGUUAUGUGAAUUUCAUAUUCUAUGGAUAAGAGUUCUGAGACGUGGUUUGAUAACUGUUUUAGAAGCCGAGCGUUCGGGACGCCUUGGUUCUGAUGUUAGGGAGUCGUAGCGCGGACCCUAGGUGAGUGGGCAUUUGUUUUCUAUAUAUAUCUAUAUACUAUUGAUUUUCCCAGA